AACGAACGCUGGCGGCAGGCCUAACACAUGCAAGUCGAAACGCGAAAUCACCUUCGGGUGGUGGAGAGUGGCAGACGGGUGAGUAACGCGUGGGAAUCUACCUGAUGGUACGGAAUAACUCAGGGAAACUUGAGCUAAUACCCGUAUGUGCCCGAAAAGGGGAAAGAUUUUAUCGCCAUCAGAUGAGCCCGCGUCGGAUUAGCUAGUUGGUGGGGUAACGCCCACAAGGCGACGAUCCCGUAGCUGGUCUGAGAGGAUGAUCAGCCACACUGGGACUGAGACACGGCCCAGACUCCUACGGGUGGCAG
Molecule: ribosomal RNA, 308 nt
Filed under: uncultured Pseudomonadota bacterium
Lineage: Bacteria; Pseudomonadati; Pseudomonadota
Description: bacterial SSU rRNA
Rfam family: Bacterial small subunit ribosomal RNA
Source: RNAcentral